RNAcentral lists this ribosomal RNA (1083 nucleotides) under Salmonella enterica subsp. enterica serovar Poona. RNAcentral describes it as "partial 23S ribosomal RNA". It matches the Rfam family "Bacterial large subunit ribosomal RNA", at positions 1171 to 2236 of the family's 2925-position model. Lineage: Bacteria; Pseudomonadati; Pseudomonadota; Gammaproteobacteria; Enterobacterales; Enterobacteriaceae. The record is from RNAcentral.
UGUAACGGGGCUAAACCAUGCACCGAAGCUGCGGCAGCGACGCUGAUGCGUUGUUGGGUAGGGGAGCGUUCUGUAAGCCUGUGAAGGUGGCCUGUGAGGGUUGCUGGAGGUAUCAGAAGUGCGAAUGCUGACAUAAGUAACGAUAAAGCGGGUGAAAAGCCCGCUCGCCGGAAGACCAAGGGUUCCUGUCCAACGUUAAUCGGGGCAGGGUGAGUCGACCCCUAAGGCGAGGCCGAAAGGCGUAGUCGAUGGGAAACGGGUUAAUAUUCCCGUACUUGGUGUUACUGCGAAGGGGGGACGGAGAAGGCUAUGUUGGCCGGGCGACGGUUGUCCCGGUUUAAGCGUGUAGGUGUGUGUUCCAGGUAAAUCCGGUUCACUUUAACACUGAGGCGUGAUGACGAGGCACUACGGUGCUGAAGCAACAAAUGCCCUGCUUCCAGGAAAAGCCUCUAAGCAUCAGGUAACAUCAAAUCGUACCCCAAACCGACACAGGUGGUCAGGUAGAGAAUACCAAGGCGCUUGAGAGAACUCGGGUGAAGGAACUAGGCAAAAUGGUGCCGUAACUUCGGGAGAAGGCACGCUGACAUGUAGGUGAAGUGAUUUACUCAUGGAGCUGAAGUCAGUCGAAGAUACCAGCUGGCUGCAACUGUUUAUUAAAAACACAGCACUGUGCAAACACGAAAGUGGACGUAUACGGUGUGACGCCUGCCCGGUGCCGGAAGGUUAAUUGAUGGGGUCAGCGCAAGCGAAGCUCCUGAUCGAAGCCCCGGUAAACGGCGGCCGUAACUAUAACGGUCCUAAGGUAGCGAAAUUCCUUGUCGGGUAAGUUCCGACCUGCACGAAUGGCGUAAUGAUGGCCAGGCUGUCUCCACCCGAGACUCAGUGAAAUUGAACUCGCUGUGAAGAUGCAGUGUACCCGCGGCAAGACGGAAAGACCCCGUGAACCUUUACUAUAGCUUGACACUGAACAUUGAGCCUUGAUGUGUAGGAUAGGUGGGAGGCUUUGAAGUGUGGACGCCAGUCUGCAUGGAGCCGACCUUGAAAUACCACCCUUUAAUGUUUGAUGUUCUAACGUGGACCCGU